UCGCCAGCGAUAAUUCGAUGGUUUUGUGAUGUUAUGUUGGUGAACAUGUUAACGUAUCCAACUUCACACUCUAUGAAUGGAUGAAUGAAAGAACGAAUGCCGCUCCUUUCUAACUAUAUAGAAAAGAUAGAGUAGGAAAUAACAAAAAUGUCAAAAAUAACACUGCAAAAUUUAAGUGUCCUAGAACAGUGCUUAAAGCUGAAUUAACAUGAUGAUUUUAAAUUUGUAUUGUUUAUUUCUUGUCAUUGCGACUUUGACGCAGCUGUUGUCAUGACAACAGAUAACAAAACAUGUUUUGUUGAAGGAUUAUUGAUGAAUAAUUUUCCACAAAAAAUUGGAUUUUAACCACGAUAGGAAAAUGAGAACCUGCGACUAUCCGUUUAAACCGAUUGUAGAAUUUAUGGAAAGAUAUGGCGAUCUGAGUAUGCCCACUGAAGGGCCCCAAGAAAGAGCCAACAAUAGUCAACGGUGGGUGGAACUAACGGACACGCGAACGUGAAAUGCUGAUGCCACCGGCGACACGAAAACUACUGAGAAAUUGAGAAAAGUGUGGAGUGACUUUAAACAGCAAGAAGAAGGCAACUCGCAUACACAGAGCUGCCAAGGGAACACUGGACUGGUGGCGGUCCAGGUUCUUCCCUGAAGCCAAAGGAUUUAGAGCAGAGUGCUUGUAAAUAACUACUUGUAAAUUAAAUCCAUAAUAAAGACCUAGGGUAACUGGAUGGAUAUACCUACCUUAUUAUUGUAAAACUUAAGAUAUUAUAAUUAAUUAAAUACA
Molecule: long non-coding RNA, 778 nt
Organism: Ostrinia nubilalis (European corn borer)
Lineage: Eukaryota; Metazoa; Arthropoda; Insecta; Lepidoptera; Crambidae
Exons: 3
Source: RefSeq, a predicted model, not a curated record